This 915-nucleotide ribosomal RNA is filed under the name Staphylococcus epidermidis. Its description in RNAcentral is "bacterial SSU rRNA". It matches the Rfam family "Bacterial small subunit ribosomal RNA", at positions 36 to 937 of the family's 1533-position model. The record is from RNAcentral. Lineage: Bacteria; Bacillati; Bacillota; Bacilli; Caryophanales; Staphylococcaceae.
CCAAUGGCGGGUGCCUAUACUGCAGUCGAGCGAACAGACGAGGAGCUUGCUCCUCUGACGUUAGCGGCGGACGGGUGAGUAACACGUGGAUAACCUACCUAUAAGACUGGGAUAACUUCGGGAAACCGGAGCUAAUACCGGAUAAUAUAUUGAACCGCAUGGUUCAAUAGUGAAAGACGGUUUUGCUGUCACUUAUAGAUGGAUCCGCGCCGCAUUAGCUAGUUGGUAAGGUAACGGCUUACCAAGGCAACGAUGCGUAGCCGACCUGAGAGGGUGAUCGGCCACACUGGAACUGAGACACGGUCCAGACUCCUACGGGAGGCAGCAGUAGGGAAUCUUCCGCAAUGGGCGAAAGCCUGACGGAGCAACGCCGCGUGAGUGAUGAAGGUCUUCGGAUCGUAAAACUCUGUUAUUAGGGAAGAACAAAUGUGUAAGUAACUAUGCACGUCUUGACGGUACCUAAUCAGAAAGCCACGGCUAACUACGUGCCAGCAGCCGCGGUAAUACGUAGGUGGCAAGCGUUAUCCGGAAUUAUUGGGCGUAAAGCGCGCGUAGGCGGUUUUUUAAGUCUGAUGUGAAAGCCCACGGCUCAACCGUGGAGGGUCAUUGGAAACUGGAAAACUUGAGUGCAGAAGAGGAAAGUGGAAUUCCAUGUGUAGCGGUGAAAUGCGCAGAGAUAUGGAGGAACACCAGUGGCGAAGGCGACUUUCUGGUCUGUAACUGACGCUGAUGUGCGAAAGCGUGGGGAUCAAACAGGAUUAGAUACCCUGGUAGUCCACGCCGUAACGAUGAGUGCUAAGUGUUAGGGGGUUUCCGCCCCUUAGUGCUGCAGCUAACGCAUUAAGCACUCCGCCUGGGGAGUACGGCCGCACGUUGAAACACGAGAGUGGUGGUGUGGCGGGGGAAGUAUAAAAA